This 608-nucleotide unclassified non-coding RNA is filed under the name Hevea brasiliensis (rubber tree). The record is from RNAcentral. Lineage: Eukaryota; Viridiplantae; Streptophyta; Magnoliopsida; Malpighiales; Euphorbiaceae.
GGGCAAAUACUGGGUUCACCUCUACCAAAGUCAACACCACAAAUGUUUUAAAUUCAUCGAGACAAGUACACUGCUGAACUAGAAAUGAGUAAAAUAGAAAACUUUAAAUUUUUGAUAAAAUGAUAUUAUAAUAUAUAUGUAUGAUAUAGUUACAUGAUUUGCAUCAGAUAAUAAUUGCAGAAGAAAUAUUUGUCAUUUAAUAUAUGUAUGUCCAUGUGUGGACAUACAACAACACAAGCCUAAUAUUGUGAGUAGACAUUAGAAGCCUAAUAAAACAGGACCAUGAUGAUCCUAUUUGAUGUUUCCCAAUCUAGUAAUUAACUGUCUGUUUUACAUUAAUAGCUAAUAAAGGGUACUUAUAACUCCAUAACGCCCUAAAUGCGUAAAGAGAACAACCUAGCCUAUGCAUCAAUCUUGCUACCUUCUACAGUAUGUGUUUGCACCUAAAAAAGUGAUACUUGAAUUCUGGUCACUUCAAGAGUGAUCACACUUUAGGAUAUUGGAUGUGUAAGCAAGAGACUCGUUGUGUCUAUUGGUUAUACAAGCAACCAGUAAAUCCGGUCAGAGGAGCCAACAAUUGCAUGAAACUUUAUUUGGAUGAUGAUUGC